RNAcentral lists this ribosomal RNA (508 nucleotides) under uncultured glomeraceous AM fungus. RNAcentral's name for it is "SSU rRNA". It matches the Rfam family "Eukaryotic small subunit ribosomal RNA", at positions 569 to 1078 of the family's 1831-position model. The record is from RNAcentral. Lineage: Eukaryota; Fungi; Glomeromycota; Glomeromycetes; Glomerales; Glomeraceae.
AGCAGCCGCGGUAAUUCCAGCUCCAAUAGCGUAUAUUAAAGUUGUUGCAGUUAAAAAGCUCGUAGUUGAAUUUCGGGGUUAGUAGGUUGGUCAUGCCUCUGGUAUGUACUGGUCUCACUGAUUCCUCCUUCCUGAUGAACCUUAAUGCCAUUAAUUUGGUGUUUUGGGGAAUUUGGACUGUUACUUUGAAAAAAUUAGAGUGUUUAAAGUAAGCUAACGCUUGAAUACAUUAGCAUGGAAUAAUGAAAUAGGACGUUCGAUCCUAUUUUGUUGGUUUCUAGGAUUGACGUAAUGAUUAAUAGGGAUAGUUGGGGGCAUUAGUAUUCAAUUGUCAGAGGUGAAAUUCUUGGAUUUAUUGAAGACUAACUACUGCGAAAGCAUUUGCCAAGGAUGUUUUCAUUAAUCAAGAACGAAAGUUAGGGGAUCGAAGACGAUCAGAUACCGUCGUAGUCUUAACCAUAAACUAUGCCGACUAGGGAUCGGAUGAUGUUAAUUUUUUAAUGACUCA